Molecule: unclassified non-coding RNA, 333 nt
Filed under: fungal sp.
Lineage: Eukaryota; Fungi
Description: partial internal transcribed spacer region
Rfam family: Eukaryotic small subunit ribosomal RNA (bases 1-46)
Source: RNAcentral
AAGUCGUAACAAGGUUUCCGUAGGUGAACCUGCGGAAGGAUCAUUAACAAAUAACGCGAAUUCCGCUCGCUCUGGCGAAGGGUCAACUUCCUCCGCUUGAGCGCGCAGAAAAAGCUGUGUCUCUUAAGAUUCAUUUCUUUCGAGAUGCGUAACAAACAAGUAACCUGGGGUACUUUAAGGUGGAGUGCUUUACUGUGCUUUACCUUGAAGCCCUUCUAAUAAUCCCAUUUUUUUACCAUUUUACCCUUGAUAAACUAUAAGACUGAUAUGACAUGAUAAAUGUCAAAUACUAAAAUUAUAAAACAACUCUUAACAAUGGAUAUCUAGGCUCUG